RNAcentral lists this ribosomal RNA (253 nucleotides) under uncultured bacterium. RNAcentral describes it as "partial 16S ribosomal RNA". It matches the Rfam family "Bacterial small subunit ribosomal RNA", at positions 524 to 776 of the family's 1533-position model. The record is from RNAcentral.
UACGAGGGGGGCAAGCGUUGUUCGGAAUUACUGGGCGUAAAGCGUGCGCAGGCGGCUGCUCAAGUCAGGGGUGAAAGCCCAGAGCUCAACUCUGGAAUUGCCUUUGAGACUGAGUGGCUUGAGUACGGGAGAGGUGAGUGGAAUUCCCAGUGUAGAGGUGAAAUUCGUAGAUAUUGGGAAGAACACCGGUGGCGAAGGCGGCUCACUGGCCCGUAACUGACGCUCAUGCACGACAGCGUGGGGAUCAAACAGG